UAAGCCAGUAUUUCUCAAACUUCAUUGUGCAUGCGAAGCACCUGGAGAGAUUGUUCCUAUUUAUACUUUUGAGUCCCAGCUACAAACAUUAUGUUUCAGUCUAUCUGGGGGCAGGCCUGGGAACUUGCAUUUAUAAUAAGUGCCCAGGUGACUCUGAUGCAAGUGGUUCAAGGACAUGCUUUGAGAAAUUCUGCUGUAAGCAACAAAACUAUUAGUUUAGUACAGGGAAGAUGUGGCCAGGUUCUCCUGCCCUCACUACAGAGAAAUGGACAUUAGAUGUGGUCAAGGCAUCUCUUGAACAAUGGGUCUCAAUUCCAACUGCAUAUUUUAAUCACCUGGGGGAAGUUCUUUAAAAAUACAAAGGUCUGGAACACAUCUCCAGAGAUUUUGAUUGAAGUGAUGUGGGCAUGGAACUCUGGUUUCCCAGGUAAUUCAACCUCCAUGCCUUGCCUUCUCCCCCCUCUCCAGUCUAAGACAUUGCUAUUUCAAGUGUGGUCUCUGGCUAGACAGCAUCAGCAUCACUUGGAAUGUUGCCAGAAUGAAGAAUCUCAUGCACUGCCCUUGAACUAGUGAAUCAAAAUCUGCAUCUUAACAAAAUUCCCUGGUGGUCUUGAAGACCCUAGAAUUACUCUGAGCUACAGUCCAGAGGUUCUCAGAGACCAAGGAUUUCCACGCAUUUGGGGGCGCACAGGAAAAGUGAGAGGUCAGAGGAUCCUGCAUAUUUUUGAGCCAGUUACCAAGAAGAGAUUUGGGACAGGUAAGCAAAACCCACCCAGAAAGAGUGGCCAGCUAGGAGGAAAUUAGAGGAGCCAAUAUGAUUAUUAUUUUCUCAGUGACUCUUGGCUUGGCUUAUGAUAAGCCCUUCUGGUGUUUUGGAUUUUGUAUGGAUAUUUUCAGUAGCUAUAUUAUUAAAACACACAAGUCUAUAAUUAUGGGCAUGCAUAUCCUCAUCCCUCAAAUAUGUACUGAGCAUGCACAAUGUUCCUGGUUCUACGCCACAUGCUGAGUUACAAAAACCACCAAAGCUCAAUUCCUGUCCUCAAGGUGCUCUUUACAGUGGGAGAAACAGACAUGAAAAUAGGGACUUAUUUACAGAGGAAGGAGCAAACAUCUGUGAGAAGGUAAAGAAGAAAGUGAUGGCCUAAAGCUGGGAAAGGCUUCUCAGAGGAGGUGAUAUGAGCUCAUCACAGAAAAAAACACUUGCUUCCCUGAGGUAGCAUAUGCUUGGAGAUUUUUUAAGAUGACCCAGGAAGAAAAAUGAGCAUUCUCAACAGUUACACACAUACACACACACAGAGAGAGAGAGAGAGAUAGCCCCUCACCUAUCAUCUUCUCAAUUUAAGUAAAGAAAUAAACAAACUGAAAGCUGAUGGGAAAAUAUUGAACCUGGACCAGACGUAAGUGUGAGGAAGCUAAUGUCACAGGGGCUCCUAAACCAUAGAUGUCCCAAAUUCCCUGCCUACUAAAGGUGAGAGAUUUCCAAAAUGCUAUUGUACACACCAAAAAACAGAUCAGCUAAAGGGUAGCAGUAUGGAUAAAAAAAUUUUUUAAAUAAAAAAAAAUAAGAAGAAGAGGAAGGGACAGGGAAGAGGAACAUUGUUUCCUUAGAUAAUGAUCACUCCCUUUACCUUUUUGUUCUUAUUCAAGAGCCCUCCCAAACCUGGGAUGUCCCAGAAUUUGGUGCUACUGGGCAGCUGGCCUCCUCCUCAUCCCACUGAUGACAACUGUGAGGAAAUCUGGGAGACUAUUAAAAAAAUAAUAUUCUCUACAAGGAGGCAAAUAAUACCAGUAGGACUGGCCAUGAAUGUCCACUUCUGUGUGUUCAUGGAUAUCAUUCGGUUUGAAAUACUGAGAUUUCUUCUCACAUAUGCCAGCACAUUAGAGCCUACACUAAAUCUAUAAAUCUUUAUCUAGGUUGAUUGAGUUUUUCAAUUCAUGGAGUUGUUUUUAGGCAGAACAAGAAUUCAACUUUUCUCCUGUAAAAUAUAAAAAAUUCAGCUACAAAUGGAGCUAUUCUGUUUUCUGCUUCUCCUCUGGAGUUGUCUCUCUUCUGGAAGCUCUGGAAAAGAAAUAGCUGUCACAUUCAUAACAGCCUUACAUACUUCCUUCUCUGUAUUAGUCAACUCUGCUGUGGUAACAAAUAGCACCAAUAUCUCAGUAGCUUACGCAAUGAUCAUUUACUUUUUGCUCCUGCUUUUACUGCAGAUUGGUGGCUAUGAGGUGGCGACUAAGCUCUGCUCCCUGUGUCCUCCCAUUCCAGAAUCCAGAGUAAAAGAUAAUUCACUAUUUGGGACACACUGUUUUCAUGACAGAGGAAAAAGAGCAAGAGAGCUGCUGACAGAAACUCCAGAUGCUCCUUAAAGCUUCUGCUCAGUCAUGGCACACACCAUGUCCACUCACAUUCAUUACCCAAAGCCCUUCCAUGGUCAAGCCCAGAAUCAAGUGGGCAGGGACUCACCCCCCAUCCCCCACAGAAGCUACUGAAAGACACACAGCAACAGGCAGGAAUUGAUAAUCUUCUCAUAUAGAAGGGGGAAUCAAUUAUUUCAGAACAAUAAUACAACUUACCAUUCCUUUAGACUCCACCCAUGUAACUUAUAUCCAGUAUAGGGAUUUUCUCCCCACGUCAACUAAAAAGAAAUGUGAUAUGAUUUUUUUUUUUUUGCCCUCUUAGGAUUGUUAUUAAGCCCUGUGCAACAUUUGCCAAAUCAUUCUUCAGAAUAUUACUGUCCCCUGAGAUGUUAACAGUUAUUAAGCAACUAAAAAGGAUUCCCUGGUCAAAUAAGUUUGGAAAAUGUUCUAUGUUAAUAGCCCUCUCGUAAUACUCACAAUUCUGUAUUAUCAGAUUAAAUGUUCUCGAUGAUGCCUGCUGUAGAGAUAGCUACUUAACCCAAGAUUGGGAUCAUAGAUUUCUUUCCAGAAUGGCAGAAUCAUUAAUAUCUCAUGAGAUUCCAGUGACUAACAUUGCCCUAAAGGAUUACAGGAGAACCACCCGGAUGGAUUCUUGUUGCUUCUUCAUUUCUGUGCAUCCAGACUGAAGGACACUGAAUGAUGUUAAGAGGAGGUAUGCAUGAAGCCAACACAUCUGUACAGGACUCCUAAAGAAGGCUUGUGUUUUUGGCUAAGAUCAAACCCUGUGUGAGAAACUUGAAAAUGCUGAUUUGGAUACUACUCUUUGCCUACUGAAUUAAGUAUAAACACAUUAGACUGGC
Molecule: long non-coding RNA, 3212 nt
Organism: Herpailurus yagouaroundi (jaguarundi)
Lineage: Eukaryota; Metazoa; Chordata; Mammalia; Carnivora; Felidae
Exons: 2
Source: RefSeq, a predicted model, not a curated record